RNAcentral lists this non-coding RNA (98 nucleotides) under unclassified sequences. RNAcentral's name for it is "wcaG RNA". It matches the Rfam family "wcaG RNA". The record is from RNAcentral.
UUGAGUUUCUUGCUUCUCCUAAAAGCAAGUGGUGCGGAUGGAGGUAACACUCCCGCCCUGUUUCUUGCUUCAGUAAAGAGCAAGUGGCGUGCAUGAAG